AUUGAACGCUGGCGGCAGGCCUAACACAUGCAAGUCGAGCGGCUGCACAGUGCUUGCUUCUUGUUUCAGCGGCCGACUGGCGGGUAGUUCCUAGGUAUCUGCCUCUCUGCUUUUGCUAACGUCCUGACGCGGGCGCUCUUACCGUAUUCCUCCUGACGGCGAACGUGUGGGAUCUUGGGACCUUACGCCAUUACACGAGCCUAUGUCGGAUUAGCUAGUUGGUGGGGUAAAGGCCUACCAAGGCGACGAUCCGUAGCUGGUCUGAGAGGAUGAUCAGUCACACUGGAACUGAGACACGGUCCAGACUCCUACGGGAGGCAGCAGUGGGGAAUAUUGGACAAUGGGCGCAAGCCUGAUCCAGCCAUGCCGCGUGUGUGAAGAAGGUCUUCGGAUUGUAAAGCACUUUAAGUUGGGAGGAAAAGCAGUAGGUUAAUACCUUGCUGUUUUGACGGUACCAAAAGAAUAAGCACCGGCUAACUUCGUG
Molecule: ribosomal RNA, 484 nt
Filed under: uncultured bacterium
Lineage: Bacteria
Description: partial 16S ribosomal RNA
Rfam family: Bacterial small subunit ribosomal RNA
Source: RNAcentral